CGGCUGAACCAGCAACUGUGCAGGAGAUGAGAGUUAAUAUAAUCAGCUAUUAACUCUGCUUGACUAGGUCUUAUCAAGUUCUGGAUAAAGCUUAUUAUGAAAACUUUAUAUCCAUAGGUCUCACGCUAGUCUUGUGCCAGCAGUCGCGGUAAGACAGGGGAGACGAGUGUUAUUCAUCUUUAACAGGUAUAUAGGGACUGUAGUCGGUGUGCAAUGGCGUAGCUAAGUAUCUGGUACACUUGAGUUUGAUAUGUGAGAGGUCUAUGUCGGAAUUGUUGGAGGAAAGAUGACAUUUGUUAAUACCAAUAGGACUCAUUACGGCGUGGGCAAACCUCUAAGUACAUGUACUUGCUAUUUCUGUUUCCAUGAUAGCAGCCUAACAAUGUACUAUAGCUGACGUUGAGGGACGGAGGCUCAGAGAGUGAAGAGGAUUAGAUACCCCCGUAACCUGGGCAGGCACUGAUGAGUGCCAUAGGUUGGCUUUCAGGCGGAACUAUAAAUGAAAGUGGAAGCACUCCACCUCAAGAACU
Molecule: ribosomal RNA, 530 nt
Filed under: Alternaria burnsii
Lineage: Eukaryota; Fungi; Ascomycota; Dothideomycetes; Pleosporales; Pleosporaceae
Description: SSU rRNA
Rfam family: Bacterial small subunit ribosomal RNA
Source: RNAcentral